RNAcentral lists this ribosomal RNA (492 nucleotides) under uncultured bacterium. RNAcentral describes it as "partial 16S ribosomal RNA". It matches the Rfam family "Bacterial small subunit ribosomal RNA", at positions 29 to 507 of the family's 1533-position model. The record is from RNAcentral.
AGUGAACGCUGGCGGUAGGCCUAACACAUGCAAGUCGAACGGCAGCACAGUAAGAGCUUGCUCUUACGGGUGGCGAGUGGCGGACGGGUGAGGAAUACAUCGGAAUCUACUUUUUCGUGGGGGAUAAUGUAGGGAAACUUACGCUAAUACCGCAUACGACCUACGGGUGAAAGCAGGGGAUCUUCGGACCUUGCGCGAUUGAAUGAGCCGAUGUCGGAUUAGCUAGUUGGCGGGGUAAAGGCCCACCAAGGCGACGAUCCGUAGCUGGUCUGAGAGGAUGAUCAGCCACACUGGAACUGAGACACGUUCCAGACUCCUACGGGAGGCAGCAGUGGGGAAUAUUGGACAAUGGGGGCAAGCCUGAUCCAGCCAUACCGCGUGGGUGAAGAAGGCCUUCGGGUUGGAGAGCCCUUUUGUUGGGAGAGAAAAGCAGCAGGUUAAUACCCCGCUGUUCUGACGGUACCCAAAGAAUAAGCACCGGCUAACUUCGUG